AACGAACGCUGGCGGCAGGCUUAACACAUGCAAGUCGAGCGCCCCGCAAGGGGAGCGGCAGACGGGUGAGUAACGCGUGGGAACGUACCUUUUGCUACGGAAUAACUCAGGGAAACUUGUGCUAAUACCGUAUGUGCCCUUCGGGGGAAAGAUUUAUCGGCAAAGGAUCGGCCCGCGUUGGAUUAGCUAGUUGGUGAGGUAAAGGCUCACCAAGGCGACGAUCCAUAGCUGGUCUGAGAGGAUGAUCAGCCACACUGGGACUGAGACACGGCCCAGACUCCUACGGGAGGCAGCAGUGGGGAAUAUUGGACAAUGGGCGCAAGCCUGAUCCAGCCAUGCCGCGUGAGUGAUGAAGGCCCUAGGGUUGUAAAGCUCUU
This 377-nucleotide ribosomal RNA is filed under the name uncultured bacterium. RNAcentral's name for it is "bacterial SSU rRNA". It matches the Rfam family "Bacterial small subunit ribosomal RNA", at positions 29 to 435 of the family's 1533-position model. The record is from RNAcentral.